AUGGACUGGGCCCUGAUGCAAGUGGCCGAGGCAGAGCCCGAUGAUGUGGCCAUCACUCUCCUGCGGGUGGCCCCAACGUGUGACAGAGCUGCUAUGGCCAUGUGGACGACCAUCUUGCUCUCGCCCUGGAUUUCAGAGGAAGUGACACCGCUCCUCAUCAAUGUGGUGGGGAGCUGGCCGCAGAAAAACCUGGGCACCUCUGAUGGGGACAAGACGGCUGUCUUUUCCCUGACUGUGAGUUUCGGGAGCUGGCCUUUGCUCACCACAAGGCCAGCCGCCUCUCCAGCAGCUCUGUUGCCUCCUUCCCCCACUGCAUCUCCCUGCUUCAGGCACUGGGCACAAACCUGGCCUAGGGGCAGCUUCAGGGCCACCAGGCCCGCUGCUUCCCCUGUGACGUCCGUACCCUCUGGAAGGAAUGCCAGGAGCAACACGGCCUCUCCACCAGCCCCAACAGGUUUGCAGUGCAGACCCUGAAGGCCCUGCCCUGCAGUCUCCACUUGGAGCAUGUGGUGGUGGCAAUGGAACGGUGGCAAUGGAACGCAAGCGUGGCUGGGACACGCUGCUCUGUGCUGACACCCACCACUAUGCCGUGGGUCUGCUGGCCAGGUGAGCCCCCCUUCUCCCCACUGCCUCUGACAUUUGUGCCCCAUGGCCGGGAUGCCCCCCACAGUCCCCGUGGCCAUGGGCCUGAGGGCCUCGUGAGCGAGGGCCUCGUCAGCGAGGGAUGGCCAAGGAGACUGCAAAAGGCUGUGAGAGGAGGGUGUGCCGGAGCAGCCUCAUCUCAAGGGCCGACAUCUCCUCACAGGGUGCUGGGGCAAUAUGACGACUGUGUCAGUCAGUCCUGGGAGAGGUUGUUCUCCCCCUUGAUGAGGCUCUUUGUGCCGUUUUCUGCCUUCCAGGGUGUGGAUGCUAAAUCUGAACCAGAGUGCCUGUAGUUAUUACAGGCCACAUAGCUCUCAGGCCUGACUGAAGCUAGCCUGGGAAAUUCAUGAGAAGGAAUUAAGACAAUUCUCAGAGAUACUAAACAGCCUUGCAGGUGUUGUUUUGCAACCUGUUGUUUCUCCUUGCAGGAGACAGUCAGGGGGGGCAAGUGCCCCUGACCAAUGAUGGUGGUGUAGUACUUUGUUAACCAAUAAGAGUUUCCUUUCUGUACUUUUCCACGUAUCUGUCUAUAAGACAGAGCUGAAGCAAUAAACUAGGAAUUCUGGUGUUGUGACUCCCUUGA
Molecule: long non-coding RNA, 1225 nt
Filed under: Cyanistes caeruleus (blue tit)
Lineage: Eukaryota; Metazoa; Chordata; Aves; Passeriformes; Paridae
Description: lncRNA (ENSCCEG00000009080.1)
Source: RNAcentral